This 21-nucleotide unclassified non-coding RNA is filed under the name Mus musculus (house mouse). RNAcentral describes it as "oocyte_clustered_small_RNA12991". The record is from RNAcentral. Lineage: Eukaryota; Metazoa; Chordata; Mammalia; Rodentia; Muridae.
UCCUGGUCCACCGGGCAGCAC